RNAcentral lists this ribosomal RNA (465 nucleotides) under uncultured bacterium. RNAcentral's name for it is "partial 16S ribosomal RNA". It matches the Rfam family "Bacterial small subunit ribosomal RNA", at positions 28 to 507 of the family's 1533-position model. The record is from RNAcentral.
GAUGAACGCUGGCGGCGUGCUUAACACAUGCAAGUCGAACGGAAAGGCUCCUGCUUGCAGGGGUACUCGAGUGGCGAACGGGUGAGUAACACGUGGGUGAUCUGCCCUGCACUUCGGGAUAAGCCUGGGAAACUGGGUCUAAUACCGGAUAGGACGAUGGCUUGGAUGCCAUUGUGGAAAGUUUUUCGGUGUGGGAUGAGCUCGCGGCCUAUCAGCUUGUUGGUGGGGUAAUGGCCUACCAAGGCGUCGACGGGUAGCCGGCCUGGGAGGGUGUACGGCCACAUUGGGACUGAGAAAGGGCCCAGCCUCCUCCGGGAGGCAGCGGUGGGGAAUAUUGCACAAUGGGCGAAAGCCUGAUGCAGCGACGCCGCGUGGGGGAUGACGGCCUUCGGGUUGUAAACUCCUUUCGCUAGGGACGAAGCGCAAGUGACGGUACCUGGAGAAGAAGCACCGGCUAACUACGUG